GUUGGCCCCGCCCCUAAGUGACGCAUGCGUGGAGGAUAUGUUCUUCGCAGCAAAGUCCUCCUUUACUCCACACACGCUUCUAAGCCUCGGCACAUCUACUAACUACACUUUAUUCAUCCUCCGUGUCAGCAUCAACUCCACUCGUCUCACUCAACUUUGGACAUUAUUAGGCCCGCUUAGAUUGCUCGUUGUUUGAGCGCGCUAGUUAGCCUAGCAUGCUAGUUAGCUUAGCUUGUUAGCCGCUAACAAAGAGACGCGGAUUUGAUCAACACAUCGCUUAGUUAAGAUCAAGUGUGAGUGUAAAGUGUUGUGAUUGUGUGGAAAUGUGUGAAAGAACCAUAGCAAAGUACGAGGAGGAACUUUGUCCAACUAAAGAGGAGAAGGAGCGACCACAUCAAAAACCUCAAGUUGUGUUACACAGAACAGAUGUCCAGCAGCUCCCUCACAUAAAAAAGGAAGAGGAGGAUCCACAGCCCCCCCACAUGAAAGAGGAAGGGGAGGAUCCACAGCCCCCCCACAUGAAAGAGGAAGAGGAAGAAGUGUGGAUCAGUCAGGAGGGAGAGUGUCCUGUAGGGCAGGAGGAGGCUGAUGUCAGCAAGUUUCCACUGACUGUUGUCUCUGUGAAGACUGAAGAGCAUGAAGACAAACCACCUGAGUCCUCACAGCUUCAUCACAGUCCAAACCUCGAUGAAGAACAUCUUCCUCGUGAGCAGGAGGUGGAACCACAGUACCCCCACAUACACAAGGAAGAAGGGGUACCACAUUCCCAACACAUCAAAGAGGGAGGAGAGGAGCCACAGCCCCCCCACAUUAAAGAGGAAGACGAGAAGCCACAGACCCAUAAUGUUAAACUGACCCUUCACAUUAAAGGGCAAGCGGAGGACCCACUGAACUUACACAUCAAAAAGGAAGAGGAGGACCCACUGACCCCCAACUUUAAAGAGGAAGAGGAGGACCAAGAGCCGCCGCAGAUUAAAGAGGAAGAGGAGGAAAAGGGCAUCAGUCAGCCUAAAUGGUUGGAGGAGUUCCCAGUGACUGGUGUCCCUGUGAAGAGUGAAGAUGAUGAGGUGAAAGGUGAAAGUGAGGAGAGGGGAGGGGGGGAGCCUCCAAGCAGCAGCUCAACACAACACAUGACAACAGAAGCUGAUGGAGACCACUGUGGAGGAUCACAAGCAGACAAGCUCUUAGCUCCACUAUCAGAUAGUGAGGACACAACGUCACACUCUCCUGACACUGAUGAUGAAGACUCUAAAGAUGAUAAGACAUGUCACACUGACAACACUCACUUCACAUGUCCUCACUGUCACAAAACUUUUAAAUACCAUUGUCGUCUGAAAUCACACAUGAGAACACACACUGGAGAAAAAACUUUUAUCUGUUCACUCUGUGGUAAAGGUUUUGCACAAAGUAACAAUUUGAAAGUCCACAUGAGAACACACACUGGUGAAAAAACAUUUUCUUGUUCAAUCUGUGGUAAAAGUUUUGCACAAAGUCAGGAUUUGAAAAAACACUGGAGAACACACACUGGAGAAAAAACUUUUAUCUGUUCACUCUGUGGUAAAGGUUUUGCACAAAGUAACAAUUUGAAAGUCCACAUGAGAACACACACUGGUGAAAAAACAUUUUCUUGUUCAAUCUGUGGUAAAAGUUUUGCACAAAGUCAGGAUUUGAAAAAACACUGGAGAACACACACUGGAGAAAAAACUUUUAUCUGUUCACUCUGUGGUAAAGGUUUUGCACAAAGUAACAAUUUGAAAGUCCACAUGAGAACACACACUGGUGAAAAAACAUUUUCUUGUUCAAUCUGUGGUAAAGGUUUUGCACAAAGUCAGGAUUUGAAAGUACACAUGAGAACACACACUGGUGAAAAAGCUUUUUCCUGUUCAACCUGUGGUAAAGGUUUUACACAAAGUCAGAAUUUGAAAGCACACAAGAGAACACACACUUGUGAUAAAUCACAUUCCUGUUCAAUCUGCAACAGAAGCUUUGGUGACCAACCAACCCUUGUAGCACACAUGAGAACACACAGUGGUAAAAAAACUUUUUCUUGUUCAAUAUGCGGUAAAGGUUUUACACAAAGUCAGGAUUUGAAAGUACACAUGAGAACACACACUGGUGAAAAACCUUUUUCUUGUUCAACCUGUGGUAAAAGUUUUACACAAAGUCAAAGUUUGAAAAGACACAUGAGAACACACACUGGUGAAAAAGCUUUUUCCUGUUCAACCUGUGGUAAAGGUUUUACACAAAGUCAAGAUGUGAAAGUACACAUGACAACACACACUGGUGAAAAAUCACAUUCCUGUUCAAUCUGCAACAGAAGCUUUGGUGAACGAUCAAGCCUUGUAGCACACAUGAGAAUACACCCGGGAGAGAAAGUGUUGAGUUGCAGUGUGUGUGGUGAAAGAUUGUCUUCUAAGUACCAGUGUAAGAAACACAAGUGUGCUGGUGAGAACAGCAGCAGCAAAUGAAACUGCAGGAUUUGAAAUAAACUGUCCAGACUUUCAUUUUGACUUUCUAACAACAUCAGUACAUAUAACAUGUUAUUGUUUGUGUAACAAUCUUUUUUAAUAUGCUUCUACAUUUAUAGAUGAGAUGGUUUGGAAUAUGGAAAUAUUACAUAUUAGUAUUUCUAAUUGUAAUAAUCCCAUAGAUUAUCACCUUUAUAUGAUAUACAUAUGUACUGGUUCACAUCUGAAACAUCUUCUGGACCACUUCAGGAAGCAUAUUAUUAUUUACUUUUUACAUAAUUUGAACAGUUGUCUUUUAUACAAUUUUGAAAUGUUAAGUUUUAUUAAUCAUUUGUUGGGUCUCUAUAAUCCAUUGUAUUAAUUAUCUUUAUUACUGUCUUUUGUAAUAUGAUGAUUGUGUUGUGAUUGUUUUAUAUGUAUGUCCCCAGACCUUUAUGCUAUAUAAAAAAAUAGAUGAAAUGGCUGAAUUGUUUGUGGAAGGAUGGUUUUGUUUUUACUAACAUACAUUUGUGGAUAAAACACAAAUUUCAAUUAUUGUGUUUUAAAACAUUUUAAUGUUUUUUUUUGUUGUUGUUAUUUUGUUGUUAUGGGACGGCGUGGCGCAGUGGGAGAGUGGCCGUGCGCAACCCGAUGGUCACUGGUUCAAAUCCCACCUAGAACCAACCUCGUCACGUCCGUUGUGUCCUGAGCAAGACACUUCACCCUUGCUCCUGAUGGGUGCUGGUUGGCGCCUUGCAUGGCAGCUCCCUCCAUCAGUGUGUGAAUGGGUAAAUGUGGAAGUAGUGUCAAAGCGCUUUGAGUACCUUGAAGGUAGAAAAGCGCUAUACAAGUACAACCCAUUUAUCAUUUAUUUAUUUAUUUUUUUAACAUCCUCCAAAACAAUAUCAAUAUCAUUCAAAGUUUGGAAUGUCAGGCAAAAGCCAAUUCUGUACAUCAUCCUACAGAGAUUUACUUGGCAUAAAUUCAUAGAGCUUUUCCUUUGGCGAGGGCAGAAAUUGGCGUUUUAUCCGAUUUUGAGUCACAAAUAUAUCAGAUUGUAAUCAGGGUGCCAAUGCUGGAUACUUUUAUGGACACUUUAUGGACGAUUUUAAAGUGAUCAAGGCGUAUUUGUUUGUCUAAAAGACAUAUCACCGACCGUCAGCGAGCUUGGUGUGUCUUUAGCCAGGUGGCUAGCUAGCCAGUCCCUUCCGCUAACCUCCAGCUCGCCUUGAACUUUAAAGUUUGCUAUUUUCGCCACAAUUUUAUCCACUUAGUUAAUCGCUUUUGAUGUUUGUGAGUUAACAACUGUUGUUUUGUCGAAGCUUGGUAUUUUAACAAUUUGCACAUUUGAAAUGCUGUGUCUAUAGGCCUCCCAGUGCUGAUGCUUUUGUAUCUGAAGGAGUUAUGUGAGAUGUUUGACAGGGAAUAGGGAAAUCUAUUUACUGGGUGAUAUGAAUGUUGACUAGCUGGGACAGGGGCGUACAAACACAAAUAAUUGACUAUCCAUUUUAAAUGCUUGCAAUUGUCAUGAUCUGUGGUCUAGAUCAUGUGUUGUUUAGUUAUGUUCUGUAAGUUUUGGACUCCAUUAGUUCCUGUAUUUGUGCACCCUUGUUUGUUUUAGUUACCAUGGCUACCUAUUAGGUUCACCUGCCUCGUGUGUCCGGUACGCACCUGCUCUAAUCAAGAAACUUUUAUUUAAGCCUGUCUCUGCCAGUUUGUCGGCCUGGUUUCAUUGUUUGCGUCACACCUUUUCCAAAUGUCGAAGAACAUAUUUUUCGUGAGCAGGAAGAGGAACCACAGUCCCCCCACAUUAAAGAGGAAGUUGAGACGCCACAGACCCAUAGUGUUAAACUGACCCUUCACAUUAAAGGGCAAGCGGAGGACCCACUGAACUUACACAUCAAAAAUAAAGAGGAGGACCCACUGACCCCUCACAUUAAACAGGAAGAGGAGGACCCACUGAACCCUCACAUUAAAGAGGAAGAGGAGGACCAAGAGCCGCCGCAGAUUAAAGAGGAAGAGGAGGAAAAGGGCAUCAGUCAGCCUAAAUGGUUGGAGGAGUUCCCAGUGACUGGUGUCCCUGUGAAGAGUGAAGAUGAUGAGGUGAAAGGUGAAAGUGAGGAGAGGGGAGGGGGGGAGCCUCCAAGCAGCAGCUCAACACAACACAUGACAACAGAAGCUGAUGGAGACCACUGUGGAGGAUCACAAGCAGACAAGCUCUUAGCUCCACUAUCAGAUAGUGAGGACACAACGUCACACUCUCCUGACACUGAUGAUGAAGACUCUAAAGAUGAUAAGACAUGUCACACUGACAACACUCACUUCACAUCUUCUCACUGUCACAAAACCUUUAAAUACCAUUGUAGUCUGAAAGUACACAUGAGAACACACACUGGAGAAAAACCUUUUUCUUGUUCACUCUGUAGUAAAGGUUUUGCACAAAGUCACGAUUUGAAAAGACACAUGAGAACACACACUGGAGAAAAACCUUUUUCUUGUUCAAUAUGUGGUAAAGGUUUUACACAACGUCAAAAUUUGAAAGUACACAUGAGAACACACUCUGGUGAAAAAAACGUUUCUUGUUCAAUCUGUGGUAAAGGUUUUGCACAAAGUAAUAAUUUGAAAAGACACAAGAGAACACACACUGGAGAAAAAGCUUUUUCCUGUUUGACCUGUGGUAAAGGUUUUACAAGAAGUACAUAUGCGAAAGUACACACGAGAACACACACUGGUGAAAAAUCACAUUCCUGUUCAAUCUGCAACAGAAGCUUUUGUUGACGAUCAACCCUUGUAGCACACAUGAGAAGACACCCAGGAGAGAAAGUGUUGAGUUGCAGUGUGUGUGGUGAAAGAUUGUCUUCUAAGUAGCAGUGUAAGAAACACAAGUGUGCUGGUGAGAACAGCAGCAGCAAAUGAAACUGCAGGAUUUGAAAUAAACUGUCCAGACUUUCAUUUUGACUUUCUAACAACAUCAGCACAUAUAACAUGUGUGACAUUGUUGUUUGUCUAACAAUCUGUUCAAUAUGCUUCUACAUUUAUAGAUUAGACAGUUUGAAAUAUAAAAGUAUUACUUAUUUGUAGUUGUAAUUGUUGAUAAUCCCAUAGAUUAUCACCUUUAUAUGAUAUACAUAUGUACUGGUUCACAUCUGAAACAUCUUCUGGACCACUUCAGGAAGCAUAUUAUUAUUUACUUUAUACAUCAUUUGAACAGUUGUCUUUUAUACAAUUUUAAAAUGUGUGACUUUAUGAAUCAUUUGUUGGGUCUCUAUAAUCCAUUUUAUUAAUCAUCUUUACUACUCUCUUUUGUAAUAUGAUGAUUGUGUUGUGAUUUUUUUAUACUUUAACUUAAUAUGUAUGUACUUGUACGUUUAUGCAAUAAAAAGUGAGAGAAAAUGGC
This is an RNA transcript of Nerophis ophidion (straightnose pipefish), 5844 nucleotides long. It is a transcript of the gene named zinc finger protein 135-like, with no coding region annotated. Lineage: Eukaryota; Metazoa; Chordata; Actinopteri; Syngnathiformes; Syngnathidae. The transcript has 4 exons. The record is from RefSeq and is a predicted model, not a curated record.